Molecule: RNase P RNA, 389 nt
Filed under: Flammeovirgaceae bacterium
Lineage: Bacteria; Pseudomonadati; Bacteroidota; Cytophagia; Cytophagales; Flammeovirgaceae
Description: RNase P RNA component class A
Rfam family: Bacterial RNase P class A
About the family: Ribonuclease P (RNase P) is a ubiquitous endoribonuclease, found in archaea, bacteria and eukarya as well as chloroplasts and mitochondria. Its best characterised activity is the generation of mature 5'-ends of tRNAs by cleaving the 5'-leader elements of precursor-tRNAs.
Source: RNAcentral
AAUAUAAAUGGUCUUAUCGCCUGUUUUCAGGAGGAAAGUCCGGGCAAUACAGGGCACCACACUUCCUAACUGGAAGGGUCAUUUUUUAUGAUACAGAUAGUGCAACAGAAAAUAUACCGCAUCCUUUGGGUGUAAGGGUGAAAAGGUAAGGUAAGAGCUUACCGCCUCAAUGGUGACUUUGAGGGCAUUGUAAACCUUGUGGAUUGAAAGGCCAAAUAAACUCUGCUUAUUCUAAAUUUAUUUAGGGUGAAGGAUUGCUCGUCUUAUUUUUUCAUUAAAGGAAAAAGCAGAGAGGGUAGGCUGAUAAAAAUCAAUAGCAAUUUUGAUUUUAGAUAAAUGAUAAGAAUCUCUUAGAGAUACAGAACCCGGCUUAUAAGUUUAUAUUUAAU